CAGUCGAGCGGUAGCACAGAGAGCUUGCUCUCGGGUGACGAGCGGCGGACGGGUGAGUAAUGUCUGGGAAACUGCCUGAUGGAGGGGGAUAACUACUGGAAACGGUAGCUAAUACCGCAUAAUGUCGCAAGACCAAAGUGGGGGACCUUCGGGCCUCAUGCCAUCAGAUGUGCCCAGAUGGGAUUAGCUAGUAGGUGGGGUAACGGCUCACCUAGGCGACGAUCCCUAGCUGGUCUGAGAGGAUGACCAGCCACACUGGAACUGAGACACGGUCCAGACUCCUACGGGAGGCAGCAGUGGGGAAUAUUGCACAAUGGGCGCAAGCCUGAUGCAGCCAUGCCGCGUGUGUGAAGAAGGCCUUCGGGUUGUAAAGCACUUUCAGCGGGGAGGAAGGCGGUGAGGUUAAUAACCUUGGCGAUUGACGUUACCCGCAGAAGAAGCACCGGCUAACUCCGUGCCAGCAGCCGCGGUAAUACGGAGGGUGCAAGCGUUAAUCGGAAUUACUGGGCGUAAAGCGCACGCAGGCGGUCUGUCAAGUCGGAUGUGAAAUCCCCGGGCUCAACCUGGGAACUGCAUUCGAAACUGGCAGGCUAGAGUCUUGUAGAGGGGGGUAGAAUUCCAGGUGUAGCGGUGAAAUGCGUAGAGAUCUGGAGGAAUACCGGUGGCGAAGGCGGCCCCCUGGACAAAGACUGACGCUCAGGUGCGAAAGCGUGGGGAGCAAACAGGAUUAGAUACCCUGGUAGUCCACGCCGUAAACGAUGUCGAUUUGGAGGUUGUGCCCUUGAGGCGUGGCUUCCGGAGCUAACGCGUUAAAUCGACCGCCUGGGGAGUACGGCCGCAAGGUUAAAACUCAAAUGAAUUGACGGGGGCCCGCACAAGCGGUGGAGCAUGUGGUUUAAUUCGAUGCAACGCGAAGAACCUUACCUGGUCUUGACAUCCACAGAACUUUCCAGAGAUGGAUUGGUGCCUUCGGGAACUGUGAGACAGGUGCUGCAUGGCUGUCGUCAGCUCGUGUUGUGAAAUGUUGGGUUAAGUCCCGCAACGAGCGCAACCCUUAUCCUUUGUUGCCAGCGGUUAGGCCGGGAACUCAAAGGAGACUGCCAGUGAUAAACUGGAGGAAGGUGGGGAUGACGUCAAGUCAUCAUGGCCCUUACGACCAGGGCUACACACGUGCUACAAUGGCAUAUACAAAGAGAAGCGACCUCGCGAGAGCAAGCGGACCUCAUAAAGUAUGUCGUAGUCCGGAUUGGAGUCUGCAACUCGACUCCAUGAAGUCGGAAUCGCUAGUAAUCGUAGAUCAGAAUGCUACGGUGAAUACGUUCCCGGGCCUUGUACACACCGCCCGUCACACCAUGGGAGUGGGUUGCAAAAGAAGUA
RNAcentral lists this ribosomal RNA (1377 nucleotides) under Klebsiella terrigena. Its description in RNAcentral is "bacterial SSU rRNA". It matches the Rfam family "Bacterial small subunit ribosomal RNA", at positions 59 to 1428 of the family's 1533-position model. Lineage: Bacteria; Pseudomonadati; Pseudomonadota; Gammaproteobacteria; Enterobacterales; Enterobacteriaceae. The record is from RNAcentral.